GACGAACGCUGGCGGCGUGCCUAAUACAUGCAAGUAGAACGCUGAAGGAGGAGCUUGCUUCUCUGGAUGAGUUGCGAACGGGUGAGUAACGCGUAGGUAACCUGCCUGGUAGCGGGGGAUAACUAUUGGAAACGAUAGCUAAUACCGCAUAAGAGUAGAUGUUGCAUGACAUUUGCUUAAAAGGUGCAAUUGCAUCACUACCAGAUGGACCUGCGUUGUAUUAGCUAGUUGGUGGGGUAACGGCUCACCAAGGCGACGAUACAUAGCCGACCUGAGAGGGUGAUCGGCCACACUGGGACUGAGACACGGCCCAGACUCCUACGGGAGGCAGCAGUAGGGAAUCUUCGGCAAUGGACGGAAGUCUGACCGAGCAACGCCGCGUGAGUGAAGAAGGUUUUCGGAUCGUAAAGCUCUGUUGUAAGAGAAGAACGAGUGUGAGAGUGGAAAGUUCACACUGUGACGGUAUCUUACCAGAAAGGGACGGCUAACUACGUGCCAGCAGCCGCGGUAAUACGUAGGUGGCAAGCGUUAUCCGGAUUUAUUGGGCGUAAAGAGAGUGCAGGCGGUUUUCUAAGUCUGGUGUGAAAGCCUUCGGCUUAACCGGAGAAGUGCAUCGGAAACUGGAUAACUUGAGUGCAGAAGAGGGUAGUGGAACUCCAUGUGUAGCGGUGGAAUGCGUAGAUAUAUGGAAGAACACCAGUGGCGAAGGCGGCUACCUGGUCUGCAACUGACGCUGAGACUCGAAAGCAUGGGUAGCGAACAGG
Molecule: ribosomal RNA, 764 nt
Filed under: uncultured Streptococcus sp.
Lineage: Bacteria; Bacillati; Bacillota; Bacilli; Lactobacillales; Streptococcaceae
Description: bacterial SSU rRNA
Rfam family: Bacterial small subunit ribosomal RNA
Source: RNAcentral